Molecule: long non-coding RNA, 4046 nt
Filed under: Canis lupus familiaris (dog)
Lineage: Eukaryota; Metazoa; Chordata; Mammalia; Carnivora; Canidae
Description: lncRNA (ENSCAFG00845003575.1)
Source: RNAcentral
GGCAGGCUCCCUGUGGGAAGCCCGAUUCCAGACUCAAUUCCAGGGCCCCAGGAUCACUCCCUGAGCUGAAGGCAGAUGCUCAACUGCUGAGCCACCCAAGCAUCCCCAAAGUAGUUUUCGUAACACUAGUUUAGGUGCGUUUGGAGGUCUCUCAAAAUCAGUUCUUUGCUUUAAAAAAAAGAAGAAAUUAUACUACUGAAGAUAAAAUAUGUGUAUGCAUAGACUCUUAAUUUGGCCAGGAAUCUGUAUAGCCAAUUGGGUAACCAGAGGUACAGUGGUGUAGUCAGGAGGCAGGUGGCGUUGGCAGGUUGCUGUGGAUGUUCACUGCUUAUGCGUUUGGCAUCCAUUUCUCUUCCUCUCCCUGCCAGUCAGCAGCCCCCGUGGCCCUUUGGGAAACCCUGCACUUGUUGCUGCAGGGCUGGGCCCCCUCUUGGAAUUAGCAAGUCUAGGAAACCCCGCCCCCUCCCUCCACCGAUUGGCCAAUCGCUUUCCUCCGGCCACAGGGAUUGGUUCAGAGUGCAAGCACCUGUCCUUUUGGGGGGACCGGGUCCUCUGUGGAAGUGAAGGAGGAAGCACGAAGCCUCCAUUGCCCCGGCUGGCAGCCGCUUUACCAUCAUGAGGGAAGCACACCUGAGGAUAAAGCUGCUAUGUUCCUACUCACGCGGAGCCUGUGUCUCCAGAGCUCAGAGCAACGGGUCAUAUUUGGCCAGGACUGGAGAGAGAAGGGGAGGAAGAAUCCACUGGCAGAUAUGGGACAUAGUGCACAUUUGGGUUUUGGCUUCCACGUUCAAGUGGCUGUGCCAGGAGGACCCAAUUUUCCUGUGGCCAUUGGCCUUCCUGACUCUUAGCUUCCACCUGUGCUUGGGCUCAGGUGGUCGGCCCCCCAGCCCACGGGGACAGAAUCCGUCCUAUCCUUCUCGAUGGAGUGAUGGCUCCUUCCAUCCUUCCUGUCUUCCCCUUCCACUCCUGGGCCCGGCCUCCCGGGAUUGCCCAUCCUGUGCUCCCCACAGGUGUCUUCCAAGAGCCCCCAUCACCACUUGCCUGUCUUUUUGUCAUGUUUUGAGGGUGAAAAGCUGCUCUUUGCUUUCCAAAACAGCACCUCCAUCACUGUGGGUGCUUCCUUCUUCCCCUCCUUUUUUUUUUUUUUUUUUUUGUGGGUGGAGCUGGGUAUUUGUAUUCAGUUACUCAUUCAUUAAACAGCAUUGAGUUAACAAUUAUCGAGUGCCAUCUUGGUGCCAUACACUGUUCAAGGCACUGGGGACAUAGUGAUGACAAGACAGACCAACUCCCUCCCAGCGGAAGUUAUGUUCCAGUUGAGGAGUGAAGACAGACAGUCAAUAAGCAAUAAUAUAAAAUCAAUUACCAGAGUAAGAUCAGAGAGUGGAGCAUGCUACGGAUGAAACUACGGGAUGAGAUGGAGAGAGACUCAGGGUGUUUUGGUGCCUUAAUAUAGAUGCUUCUGGACGGCUCACCGAGGAGGCCACUGAUACUCAGAGGACUAGAGGUGACCGUUCUGAACUAUCUGGGCAGAGUGUUCAAGGCCAAGGGAGCUGCAAGGCCAGUUGUUCCUGGGCAGCAAUGCAUUUGGCAUAUUCCAGGAAUGGAAAACAAGACCACUGCGGCUGGAGGGAUAAACUGGGUGCACAAAACUCACCCAGAGUGGGGAAAAAAAGAAAUGAUAGAAAUAGAAUGCUCUCUGUAGGGUGUGGGCCUCUUGGGAGAAUGUCAUUUGCUUUCACGGCCACGAUUUGCUAAUGCGGAAAGCAGGCACCCUGCCUGCCGUCCACUGACCUACGUGUGCAUUCUGAAGGAGCUACAGGCUGGUUCCCCUCAUUCUCCCCCACCAAUCUCCUCCUGUUUCCAGGGUGUGCCGAGAUCCCUGAGCAGGUGGGACCCAUAGUGUGCUCCAUCCUGCUCUCCCCAGCACUCGGAGAAGCCCGUUUCUUCUCUCCCGUGCAGGAGGGGCAUGGACUGUGGGUGGGGGUGAAGGGGGGAGCGGUUCCUGCUUCAUUGUGUCCAUUGCACCCUCUGGGAGGGUGUCAUGAGGAUGCACUAGGGUGCCACAGCGUCCAAUGCACAGGGCAUGCUCAGCAAAUGUCCCCAUGAGGGGCGGGCAGAAACCAGACAUGGUGCCAUCCCCACCUGGCUUUUGAAUGAAAGUAACACAAUUCUCUCGUGAUGAAAUCUAAUCGCACAGGAAACAAUGGGUAAGUAUGAGGACUUUCAAACCUGGGGCCUGGCUUCUGCUCACACUGAGAAAAUGGAAAAUCCUGUCCUUAUCAGACUCCCAGAAUAGCUCGCUCCUCCCAGCUCAGCUCUCAGGGUUAAUCUCAGCCCCAAGGUGGGCCUCCUCCUUUGGGGCGGUGUGUGUGUGUGUGGGCUCUCUGUGCUUCCUUAUCAGAGGGAGAGCAUUGCUCUGCUCCACUGGCCAACCUCAGUGGCUCCUCCUCUAAGCCAGGGGAUGCACUUGGGCCUGGAAGACCCAAGGAAGGUGAUGCAGGUGUCCAUGGCUAUUUAACACACACACACACACACACACGCACACGCACACGCACACACACACACACGGGCCCUGUGCUGGACUCUGCAUUCUGCUUCCUGGGGGGAAUAAUGCUUUCCAACGCACCCUCUUCUCCUAGCAAGGAGGACCUUGUAGGAUGUGAAGAGUCGAGUGUUUUCUCGCCUCUAGUUGGAUUUUAAGAAGUUAAAAUUAUUUCGGUGGAAAGCAGUUGCCCAGAGCCAGCGUGCUUCUGACAGCCCACUCUGCCCCACUGUUGUCCUUGGGAAGUACCUGCUGGGCACCUCCUCCCUGGCUCAGCUGCCAAGCUGUGCCCCAAGUACCUGUGGUCUUGUCCCGACUACCCUGUUGUGAAUGCUUCUUGCAUGUGGCCAUUUGCCUGUACAGAUGUCAGCUGCCACGUGUGGUCACAUAUUCAAGGCAUUACUUGUCCUGUAGGGAAGUGAGCAGAAAUGAGGUGGAAUGGGUUCAGCCCUUGACAUAGAAUCUGAACAUCCAGUUGGGAGUUGUGGCUGUGCCACUUUCUAGCCACAUUUCUUUGAAAUGGACAGAAGACCUGGUCAACCUCACUGCUGAAUCCAGGCUGUAGUGAACAUCACGGUCCCAUAAUGGCCUUCAUCCUUUCAUCUUCAUGUAAAAAGUCAUUUACACCAAAGAAGAAUUUAGAUCAUCUCAGCUGUGUGUAUCUGGUUUUCUGCAUUUGCAAAACAAAACAAAAACAAAACAAAACAAAACAAAAAACAAGCAAGCCAGCCAGCCUUUUGGGACAUACUUAUACUAAAUAUCCAUUCACCGUUUAUCUGAAAUUCUAAUUGAACAGGGCAUCUUGCAUUUACAUUUGCUAAACCUGGCAACCCUACAGGAGAAGAAAUUCACUGCAUAUUUAUUUAUAUCUAUCAAACUGAAUGAUGGAUGCAUAGACUGGUCCUGGGUCCCCAUUUAGAGGCAGAGUCUGAGUGUUUUCUGGGAGUUCUUAGGAAGACUGUACUAUAUCUGCUGUCGUGCCAAAUCUCGAUGUGAAACCAGAACAAUUCAAUCAGUCCUUCACAGUCUAGAUGUUUGCACCGGGUAGACAAAAUAUCGAGAUGUUUGGCAGGAUCGCUCAAUUGUCCUUUGGAAGUCUGGCAUCCUACAUCUAUAGCUUGUGAGUUUGUCCUGUGCUGGGACAGUAUCUGUAAACUCAGUUCUCUGAUCUCCGAUGACCCCAUGUCCCCUCUCCCCUCCUUUUCCAAUGGGGCCUGGGACAUGCUACUAGAAUUUUCAAGGAUUCGGCUGAGGUCUGGACAUGCUUUGCAUUUUGUUCAUUUUUUUGGCCCACGUCGUGCAUGUAAGUACAGUUGUUUUACUUCAGUCUGCUGAUAAAGCUCAGACUUCUGCAGACUCCUUUUUUCUUCAUUCCUAUUAUGCAGGAAACCCAGCAAGAGAGUCAAGAUUUUUUGUUCUCCCCCAGAGCACAAUGAACUGACAUAAAUCCUGUGCAUGUAAUAACACUCUGACCCCGUUAAGAAGACGAAUGGGGAACAGUGAC